This 422-nucleotide ribosomal RNA is filed under the name uncultured bacterium. RNAcentral's name for it is "partial 16S ribosomal RNA". It matches the Rfam family "Bacterial small subunit ribosomal RNA", at positions 360 to 774 of the family's 1533-position model. The record is from RNAcentral.
AAUAUUGGACAAUGGGCGAAAGCCUGAUCCAGCCAUGACGCGUGUGUGAAGAAGGUCCUCGGAUUGUAAAGCACUUUAAGUUGGGAGGAAGGGCAGUAAGAUAAUACCUUGCUGCUUUGCCGUUCCCGGCUGCAUAAGCACUGUCUAACUCCGUUACAGCAGCCGCGUUAAGACGAAGGGUGAAAGCGUUAAUCGGAAUUACUGGGCUUAAAGCGCGCGUAGGUGGUUUGUUAAGUUGGAAGUGAAAGCCCCGGGCUCAACCUGGGAACUGCUUUCAAAACUGGCAAGCUAGAGUAUGGCAGAGGGUGGUGGAAUUUCCUGUGUAGCGGUGAAAUGCGUAGAUAUAGGAAGGAACACCAGUGGCGAAGGCGACCACCUGGGCUAAUACUGACACUGAGGUGCGAAAGCGUGGGGAGCAAACA